UACGUAGGCGGUUUGUUAAGUUGGGUGUGAAAUCCCUCGGCUCAACCGAGGAACUGCGCCCAAAACUGGCAGACUAGAGGGAGACAGAGGUGAGCGGAACUUAGGGUGGAGCGGUGAAAUGCGUUGAUAUCCUAAGGAACACCAGUAGCGAAAGCGGCUCACUGGGUCUCUUCUGACGCUGAGGUACGAAAGCUGGGGGAGCGAACAGGAUUAGAUACCCUGGUAGUCC
RNAcentral lists this ribosomal RNA (229 nucleotides) under uncultured bacterium. RNAcentral describes it as "partial 16S ribosomal RNA". It matches the Rfam family "Bacterial small subunit ribosomal RNA", at positions 568 to 796 of the family's 1533-position model. The record is from RNAcentral.